Homo sapiens (human) is the source of this 1018-nucleotide long non-coding RNA. RefSeq lists it as uncharacterized. NCBI's taxonomy places the organism in Eukaryota, Metazoa, Chordata, Mammalia, Primates, Hominidae. The transcript is spliced from 3 exons. The record is from RefSeq and is a predicted model, not a curated record.
UAGGAACAGUUAUUAAAGAUAAUGCACACCUUAAAAUAUUACUAUUGGGUUAUUAAUCCUGCUGACAGUAGUGGCAUUACACCUAAAGGAUUAGGAUGAAAAUAUUCAUGAUGUGCUACAGUUACUGGUGGCUUUAAUGUCAGAACACCCAGCCUCAAUGAUACCAGUAUUUAAUCAAAGAAAUGGAAUAAGCACGUUGGGUGAGAGAAAGAAAGAAAUCACAUCCUUUAUCCUCCCACACAGCCAAAGAUUCCUGAAGACAGAGCUGAUGCCAUGUACUCAAGUGGGUCUCUGCCUCUCAGAGGUGGCCUUGGUCUUCAAGUUUCAGCAAUUCUGGGAAGCCAAGGACACCUCCAUCUCCUCCUGCCUGAUCUGCAACUCAUCUGAGAGCAGCUUUCUCAUUGGAAUGUCUUGUGUUUAAGGAACAAGAAUCCCUGUUUCCGGUUUGGGUGCCCAAGUGCACCUACUGGAUCCAACCCAGGAUUGGAGAUACUUUGCAGAACACAACAUCAUCUGGCACAUGACCAGCCAUGGUGUUUCACUUUCACAAUUUCAGCUUCCUUCACUGAUGGCAGCAUAAUCGUGGUUCAGCAGCCUCCAAGACCAGGGCUGGUGUGGGCGGCUACAGGGAGAAAUUCAAGAGGAAGUUCUUGGUGGUGCCCUCCAUGAGUACAAAGAAGCCUCAGUCCCCAGGACACCCUUCCGUGCAUGGUGUCACUGACAUCUUUAUUUCUUUUGUCACGUUCUGUAAAUCACAAUGAAUGGGGUAUUCUUCUUCUAUUAUAUAUUUGUUAAGUCUUUUUUGGCAUCUUUAAAAAAAAGUGGUAACUUUAUCCUAUGUAAUAUCCCUGUUAAGUCCUAAAAGUCUUUUCUGAUGUCUAUUUUGUCUGAAAUUUGCACAGCUACUAUAGCUUUAUUUCGGUUCAUAUUUUCAUAAUCCAUGUUUUCUCAUCCUUUUAUAUUUGUGAAUGUGUAAAGUAACUUUCUUGUGCAUAGCUAAGAGUUUGGUCUUGCUUUU